Molecule: non-coding RNA, 2275 nt
Organism: Misgurnus anguillicaudatus (oriental weatherfish)
Lineage: Eukaryota; Metazoa; Chordata; Actinopteri; Cypriniformes; Cobitidae
Source: RefSeq, a predicted model, not a curated record
UAGUAUAUAACGUUACCUGAGAGAAUAAUUUAUUAAAAGCCUAUUUAAAAAAGUACCCUAAAUUACAUUUUGCUGGGAGGAAAACUCUUAAUGUGUAAGUUACCACGUUGUUUAUAUUCUCAUCCGCUUGACUUUACCUGUUACAUAAAUUAUGCGUUAUUAAUAAGGUGUACAACAAAAUUUUAUCUUUCAAAUUCGUUAAACUAACUUACGUUAAGCAUUUUAGAAAGUCCCAUGUGAACAUAAUAAGAGUUUGCUUAACAUUUCGUUUUACAAACGACUUCAACGUAUGAGCGUAUGUUAUGUGUGUGGUGGCCAAAAAAACGGAAAAAAAAACAUUAUAUUUUAAAUCUGAAUAUGUUCAAACAUUAUUAACAUUAACAAAAGGCUGAAACCUAAUUUGCAUAAAAUAAAGUUUUAAAAUGUGUUUUUGUUUUGUAUUAAAUUGCUUUUGAGGCCAAGGUAGCUGUACAGUAAAUAUUCAGCCUCGAUCAGAAAACCACGUCACACUGUCAUAACACACAGACAUGUGGCGAUAGUGCAGUGAUUCGAGUAGAGUAUCUACUCUGGUUAUCAUUUCAAAACAGUAUUUACUGAAAAAUAUGAAUGUUUAGCAUCAUGUAUUAAAUGUGUUAAAUAUGUCCUUUUUUCCCUGCAUUUAUUCUGCUGUCUAAAAUUCUUUGGGAGGAUAAAUUAAGGAGGAUGUAACAAAAUACACUGCAAGAACUGGAAUGAGAGACAAGUGAGGAUGAAGAGGACAACAGAAUAUCCAUCCUUUCUUCACCACCUCACAGAGUUUGAGUGAAACAACUUGUAUUAGGACUCACAGGAUUAUUUUAUAACAAGACUGAUUAUCUUAUACCAGAAGUUUGGUAUUUUUUUUUGAAGCUACUGUAUUAUUUCUUAUGACAAUUCAUUUUGAUGUGCAUUCAGAACUGUAAGUUGGUAAGUACAUUUACUGUAUUUACUGUAAGUAAAGGCUAAAGAGUAUAUCUCCUCUAGUUCUAAGUUCUAGUUCUAAGUUCUAACAACGUUCCCAAAGGUCCCAAUAAUGUUAAGCCAACAUAAAAGUGUCCAGUUUUUAAAUUGUUUAGGAAUGUUUCUUGAUUGUGCAAAUGUUAGAGGAAUGUUGCAUUUUAUUUUUAGACAAUGUCAUGUUUAAAUGUACUCACAAUGUUUAAAAAACAUGUCUAAUAUAUUUUAUGAAUGUUUACAUGCAAUAUUUUAACAGAACAUUAAGAAAUAAUGUUUUACAACAGUUUGUAAAUAAUAGAAUGUAAUGUUUUUUAUCAUUACAAGCAAAAACAUUCAUAACGUUAUUGGGAACUUUGGGAACUUUCAAGGAACGUUCUUAGAACCUUUCUCUGUGGUUGAGCAUUGUGUUAGCAUCAUAAAACGCCAUAGGUUCGAACAAGGAAAGCACAUGCUGAUAAAAAAUUUAUACUUUGCAUUGCACUGUAUGUUAUUUGCCUUUUUCUGUAAAUGUGAAGAUAAAUGUAAAGACAGACAGUCAUUGUUUCAUUUUAAACCAGUUCUAUUUUAAGAGAACUUAACUAGACUAAAUAAAAGGGUCACAAAAGUUUUAAUUUUGCUAUUAUGAUGCUGAUUUUGUGGUGUUAUGGGUUUUCUGGUUACAGUGGUAGUGGAUCAUGAUCACCUCUCUAGCUUCAAAAGUAGGAUGCAAAAUGUAUAACACCAAAUCAUUAUAGCAUAACUCCAUGUAACUUGACAUAAUUUAAAGUCGUCUAAAGACAGACAUGAUUGCGUGUGAAGUCCUAUGCCAAAGACUCUCCAAAUACUGCAUCUACACAUUCUUCCUGAUGUGUAUAUUUUGUUGGUAUAUCCUGGUUGUUGCAGACCUGACAGUAAACUUGACUGUGAGCAUCCUAUCCAUCAGGUAUAGCUGUUUACUUGCAUUACUCGUUUAGAUAAAUGACGGGUCAAAAUUGAUUAUAUGGAUUAUAUUUUCAUCACCUCUUUUUGUAUGUCUUUGGGACACUUGAAAUAUAUAGCACGUAUAAUGUGGAGCCAUAUGCGGUCACAGACUACUCCCAUUGUAACUGGAAAACCAAAGAAAAUCAUUGUUUAAAUUAUACAAUUAUAAUUUUUGGAUUAACUAAACCUGUAAUCAGUGUUAUACGUAUGUAUGUUUAUAAUUUGUGUUAUUUUAAAUGUAUUACUGCAAAUGAUUUGAAAUGUGUAUGUUUCAAAUGUAAUUUCACACAACUUCUUAAAGUAUUUGUAUUGUUUUAAAUAAAGGCUUCAAUAUUUGAAA